GUGGGGAAUAUUGGACAAUGGGCGAAAGCCUGAUCCAGCAAUGCCGCGUGAGUGAAGAAGGCCUUCGGGUUGUAAAGCUCUUUUACCCGGGAAGAUAAUGACUGUACAGGGAGAAUAAGCCCCGGCUAACUCCGUUCCAGCAGCCGCGGUAAUACGGCGGGGGCUAGCGUUGUUCGGAAUUACUGGGCGUAAAGCGCACGUAGGCGGUCUUUUAAGUCAGAGGUGAAAGCCCGGGGCUCAACUCCGGAAUUGCCUUUGAAACUGGAAGACUUGAACACGGGAGAGGUGAGUGGAAUUCCGAGUGUAGAGGUGAAAUUCGUAGAUAUUCGGAGGAACACCAGUGGCGAAGGCGGCUCACUGGACCGUUGUUGACGCUGAGGUGCGAAAGCGUGGGGAGCAAACAGGAUUAGAAACCCGGGUAGUCC
RNAcentral lists this ribosomal RNA (425 nucleotides) under uncultured bacterium. RNAcentral's name for it is "partial 16S ribosomal RNA". It matches the Rfam family "Bacterial small subunit ribosomal RNA", at positions 354 to 796 of the family's 1533-position model. The record is from RNAcentral.